AAGUCGUAACAAGGUUUCCGUAGGUGAACCUGCAAAAGGAUCAUUAACACGUAUCCAAACGUUAAAACAACCCUGUGAAUAUUGAAUCUCAGUUCCCCCAGGGCAGAAAAAUGGGCUUCCUCUAGUAAAUCAUUGUCUUAACAAGGUUUUGAGUUAGAGGAUGGCGCACGAGUAGAACCUGUAUUGGCGUUUACAACUAUCCACUCCUGGUGACCCCAAGCAACCAUCAUGUUUGGUGAAUUGUGCAAGGGCAGCGCAGUCAACGAUCGGUGGUCCACACGGCCAUCGACCGAGUUCAUUCAGGUUGAACAUGAUGCAUGUCUACCGCGCCCGACGAAAGUGCGACGCACCCUAACCGAACAACUGUUAACAAUGGAUAUCUUGGUUCUCGC
This 392-nucleotide unclassified non-coding RNA is filed under the name fungal sp. RNAcentral describes it as "partial internal transcribed spacer region". The stretch from base 1 to 46 matches the Rfam family "Eukaryotic small subunit ribosomal RNA", at positions 1786 to 1831 of the family's 1831-position model. Lineage: Eukaryota; Fungi. The record is from RNAcentral.